This 476-nucleotide ribosomal RNA is filed under the name uncultured bacterium. RNAcentral's name for it is "bacterial SSU rRNA". It matches the Rfam family "Bacterial small subunit ribosomal RNA", at positions 35 to 507 of the family's 1533-position model. The record is from RNAcentral.
AGGACGAACGGCUGGCGGCGUGCCUAACACAUGCAAGUCGAGCGGGGUUGAAGCGAGGGGUAACUCGAGUUUCUACCUAGCGGCGGACGGGUGAGUAACGCGUGGGCAACCUGCCUCAAGGACUGGGAUAACAGCUCGAAAGGGCUGCUAAUACCGGAUAAGCCCAUGGCCUCGCAUGGGGCCAUGAGCAAGGGAAACCCGCCUUGAGAUGGGCCCGCGUCCCAUCAGCUAGUUGGUGAGGUGAAGGCUCACCAAGGCGACGACGGGUAGCCGGCCUGAGAGGGUGACCGGCCACACUGGGACUGAGACACGGCCCAGACUCCUACGGGGGGCAGCAGUGGGGAAUCUUGCACAAUGGGCGAAAGCCUGAUGCAGCGACGCCGCGUGAGCGAAGAAGGCCUUCGGGUUGUAAAGCUCUGUCUGGAGGGACGAAGGAAGUGACGGUACCUCCGGAGGAAGCCACGGCUAACUACGUG